RNAcentral lists this ribosomal RNA (253 nucleotides) under uncultured bacterium. Its description in RNAcentral is "partial 16S ribosomal RNA". It matches the Rfam family "Bacterial small subunit ribosomal RNA", at positions 524 to 776 of the family's 1533-position model. The record is from RNAcentral.
GACAGAGGGUGCAAACGUUGUUCGGAAUUACUGGGCGUAAAGCGUGUGUAGGCGGUUUGCUAAGUCGGAUGUGAAAGCCCUGGGCUCAACCCAGGAAGUGCACUCGAAACUGGCAAGCUAGAGUAUCGGAGAGGUUGGUGGAAUUCUCGGUGUAGAGGUGAAAUUCGUAGAUAUCGAGAGGAACACCGGUGGCGAAGGCGGCCAACUGGACGAAUACUGACGCUGAGACACGAAAGCGUGGGGAGCAAACAGG